RNAcentral lists this ribosomal RNA (465 nucleotides) under uncultured bacterium. RNAcentral's name for it is "partial 16S ribosomal RNA". It matches the Rfam family "Bacterial small subunit ribosomal RNA", at positions 28 to 507 of the family's 1533-position model. The record is from RNAcentral.
GACGAACGCUGGCGGCGUGCUUAACACAUGCAAGUCGUACGGUAAGGCCCUUUCGGGGGUACACGAGUGGCGAACGGAUGAGUAACACGUGAGUAACCUGCCCACAACUUUGGGAUAACGCUAGGAAACUGGUGCUAAUACUGGAUAUGUGCUCCUGCUGCAUGGUGGGGGUUGGAAAGCUCCGGCGGUUGUGGAUGGACUCGCGGCCUAUCAGCUUGUUGGUGGGGUAGUGGCCUACCAAGGCGGCGACGGGUAGCCGGCCUGAGAGGGUGACCGGCCACAUUGGGACUGAGAUACGGCCCAGACUCCUACGGGAGGCAGCAGUGGGGAAUAUUGCACAAUGGGCGCAAGCCUGAUGCAGCAACGCCGCGUGCGGGAUAACGGCCUUCGGGUUGUAAACCGCUUUCAGCAGGGACGAAGCUUUUUGUGACGGUACCUGCAGAAGAAGCACCGGCUAACUACGUG